This 253-nucleotide unclassified non-coding RNA is filed under the name uncultured Pirellulaceae bacterium. Its description in RNAcentral is "contains 16S-23S intergenic spacer region". It matches the Rfam family "Bacterial small subunit ribosomal RNA", at positions 524 to 776 of the family's 1533-position model. The record is from RNAcentral. Lineage: Bacteria; Pseudomonadati; Planctomycetota; Planctomycetia; Pirellulales; Pirellulaceae.
GACGAACCGUCCAAACGUUAUUCGGUAUCACUGGGCUUAAAGAGUUCGUAGGCGGCCAUGUAGGUCAGGUGUGAAAUCCCACAGCUCAACUGUGGAACUGCGCUUGAAACCACAUGGCUCGAGGGAGAUAGAGGUGAGCGGAACAGAUGGUGGAGCGGUGAAAUGCGUUGAUAUCAUCUGGAACACCGGUGGCGAAAGCGGCUCACUGGAUCUUUUCUGACGCUGAGGAACGAAAGCUAGGGUAGCGAACGGG